CGGAGCAACGCCGCGUGAGUGAUGAAGGCUUUCGUGUCGUAAAACUCUGUUGUUAGGGAAGAACAAGUGCUAGUUGAAUAAGCUGGCACCUUGACGGUACCUAACCAGAAAGCCACGGCUAACUACGUGCCAGCAGCCGCGGUAAUACGUAGGUGGCAAGCGUUAUCCGGAAUUAUUGGGCGUAAAGCGGUGUCAGGUGGUUUCUUAAGUCUGAUGUGAAAGCCCACGGCUCAACCGUGGAGGGUCAUUGGAAACUGGGAGACUUGAGUGCAGAAGAGGAAAGUGGAAUUCCAUGUGUAGCGGUGAAAUGCGUAGAGAUAUGGAGGAACACCAGUGGCGAAGGCGACUUUCUGGUCUGUAACUGACACUGAGGCGCGAAAGCGUGGGGAGCAAACAGGAUUAGAUACCCUGGUAGUCCACGCCGUAAACGAUGAGUGCUAAGUGUUAGAGGGUUUCCGCCCUUUAGUGCUGAAGUUAACGCAUUAAGCA
RNAcentral lists this ribosomal RNA (489 nucleotides) under uncultured bacterium. Its description in RNAcentral is "bacterial SSU rRNA". It matches the Rfam family "Bacterial small subunit ribosomal RNA", at positions 387 to 866 of the family's 1533-position model. The record is from RNAcentral.